UUCCAGGCCAAAGAAGGAGAAAGAAUAAAUAUUAACCAAAGGCGUUUCUAGAGCUGGGUGCCCAGGGCCCCUCCCUCCCAGAGGCUGGGAUAAACGGCUGGUUUCCCAGUUUUGGAAUCCUCUUGGCUGCUCCCACAGAAAAAGGACAGAGGUUCUUUAGGCUCAACUCUCCAUUCCAGACGGGCCGGUCUCCUUAAGGCUUUUGCUCACGUUGGACCACUUCCCCACCGGUGACUCAUUCAAACCCUAAGCCUCGAUCAGACUCACUCAAUCGUGCCUCCUCCUUCAGAAGGACGCCCUGGAGCAUUCCAGCCAGGCUUUCGGGUCUACAGAGCAAGAACUGAAGUGAUGAACUGAGCUCCUUAAAAGCAUACUUUAUAUAUAAUUGUUUACAUUAUAUUACUUUCAGGUACACAAUGACAUAGUGACUCAAAAAUGUUUAUAUAAUCCAUUUAAAGUUAUUAUAGGAGUUCCCGUCGUGGCGCAGUGGUUAACGAAUCCAACUAGGAACCAUGAGGUUGAGGGUUCGAUCCCUGGCCUUGC
Sus scrofa (pig) is the source of this 543-nucleotide non-coding RNA. The record is from RefSeq and is a predicted model, not a curated record. Lineage: Eukaryota; Metazoa; Chordata; Mammalia; Artiodactyla; Suidae.